GACGAACGCUGGCGGCGUGCUUAACACAUGCAAGUCGAACGGAAAGGCCCUGCUUUUGUGGGGUGCUCGAGUGGCGAACGGGUGAGUAACACGUGAGUAACCUGCCCUUGACUUUGGGAUAACUUCAGGAAACUGGGGCUAAUACCGGAUAGGAGCUCCUGCUGCAUGGUGGGGGUUGGAAAGUUUCGGCGGUUGGGGAUGGACUCGCGGCUUAUCAGCUUGUUGGUGGGGUAGUGGCUUACCAAGGCUUUGACGGGUAGCCGGCCUGAGAGGGUGACCGGCCACAUUGGGACUGAGAUACGGCCCAGACUCCUACGGGGGGCACCAGUGGGGAAUAUUGCACAAUGGGCGGAAGCCUGAUGCAGCAACGCCGCGUGCGGGAUGACGGCCUUCGGGUUGUAAACCGCUUUCGCCUGUGACGAAGCGUGAGUGACGGUAAUGGGUAAAGAAGCACCGGCUAACUACGUG
This 468-nucleotide ribosomal RNA is filed under the name uncultured bacterium. RNAcentral describes it as "partial 16S ribosomal RNA". It matches the Rfam family "Bacterial small subunit ribosomal RNA", at positions 28 to 507 of the family's 1533-position model. The record is from RNAcentral.